This 240-nucleotide ribosomal RNA is filed under the name Clostridioides difficile. RNAcentral's name for it is "partial 16S ribosomal RNA". It matches the Rfam family "Bacterial small subunit ribosomal RNA", at positions 1276 to 1515 of the family's 1533-position model. The record is from RNAcentral. Lineage: Bacteria; Bacillati; Bacillota; Clostridia; Peptostreptococcales; Peptostreptococcaceae.
UUAAAGCUACUCUCAGUUCGGAUUGUAGGCUGAAACUCGCCUACAUGAAGCUGGAGUUACUAGUAAUCGCAGAUCAGAAUGCUGCGGUGAAUGCGUUCCCGGGUCUUGUACACACCGCCCGUCACACCACGGGAGUUGGAGACGCCCGAAGCCGAUUAUCUAACCUUUUGGAAGAAGUCGUCGAAGGUGGAAUCAAUAACUGGGGUGAAGUCGUAACAAGGUAGCCGUAUCGGAAGGUGC